UUAGACAACCAGGAUGUUGGCUUAGAAGCAGCCACCAUUGAAAGAGUGCGUAAUUGCACACUGGUCGAGUGACCCCGCGCCGAAAAUGUACCGGGGCUAAACAUAUUACCGAAACUGUGGAUGAACCCCUUUAGAGGUUCGAGGUAGGAGAGCGUUCUAAGGGCGGUGAAGUCAGUGGGGAAGGGCUGAUGGAGCGCUUAGAAGUAAGAAUGCCGGGAUGAGUGGCGAAGGAAGGGUGAGAAUCCCUUCCACCGA
Molecule: ribosomal RNA, 255 nt
Filed under: Listeria monocytogenes
Lineage: Bacteria; Bacillati; Bacillota; Bacilli; Caryophanales; Listeriaceae
Description: partial 23S ribosomal RNA
Rfam family: Bacterial large subunit ribosomal RNA
Source: RNAcentral